ACUUUACUAGUAUAAUGUCAUAAUGGUAAACAAAAUAAAUUAUGAAUGUUAAUUAAAACAAGUAUCUACCUACUCAGGUACUUCAAUUUUAAAUAAUAAUACUUCACAAUGUGCUUUUUUAUAAUACUUUAAUUUGCAAUGUAAAAAUAAUUCAAUUCAAAAUAGGUGUUUUAUUACCUAAAACUAAUAUAAUGCAUGAUAAUUGGAUACCAACUUGGAAACUUCAUUUUCAAAUUGUUUGUCAAACAUGUUAUUCUGCAUAGUUUACAAUUUUUAUUUAAACAUUGUAUACAAAUGGACCACUUACAUUGUCUCAUAGGAUAUCAUAUUAUAAUAAAACAAUACAAUACUAUACAAAUACCAAGUCAAAACUUUUAAAUUCAUCUGCAAAUUCUUUAUUUGGCGACUAUUUAAUUUGUAUAUUUAAUUGUAAAAAUUAGUAAUUCAUAAUAAAUUACACUGAACUAUGAGCAACUAUAUCUAUGACUAGACAAUACAAUUUGAUUUGACUAGCAAAUGUUUCAUAACUGUACCAGUACACUGAUAUUUGAUAUUUAUGUAAAUUAUUAUGGAAUCAAAUAUAUUUCUGUAAUAUAAUAUAGUCUCUGAACAAACUACUCAAUUAAUUGUAUUGUAAAGUUAAUUAUUACAAAGAGGGAAAUAUUAAGUCAGCCUACUUAAAGGUUAUGUUAUUAAAUUGUAAUACAAUUCCUCAUAAGUAGCAUUAUGAGGUUGUUAAAAUAGAAAAUUUUA
Long non-coding RNA from Metopolophium dirhodum (rose-grain aphid), 753 nucleotides. RefSeq lists it as uncharacterized. The transcript has 4 exons. Lineage: Eukaryota; Metazoa; Arthropoda; Insecta; Hemiptera; Aphididae. The record is from RefSeq and is a predicted model, not a curated record.